Molecule: long non-coding RNA, 213 nt
Organism: Amblyraja radiata (thorny skate)
Lineage: Eukaryota; Metazoa; Chordata; Chondrichthyes; Rajiformes; Rajidae
Exons: 4
Source: RefSeq, a predicted model, not a curated record
AUAACUGACAAUGAUAACAGCCAAGGAGAGGUACUGUAAUUGAUGUGGUGCGCAUGUGUGUCAAUAAAGUUUUCUCUUCCAGUUUGAACAAGAUGGAUGCCCCACUGUGUUUUUUACUCCUCUGAAUUAUCUUCGGUCUAGCACUGGGUCGGCUGCAAGAAUCGCUGCACAAUUCACCUCUGCCAACAGAAAAACAUAAAAAAGUCUGAAGAA